GCAAGUCGAACGAGAAAGUUACUUCGGUAAUUAGUAAAGUGGCGCACGGGUGAGUAACGCGUAGAGAUCUACCAAGCAGUGGGGAACAACUAUUGGAAACGAUAGCUAAAACCGCAUACGCCCUACGGGGGAAAUAUUUAUAGCUGUUUGAUGAGUCUGCGUUAGAUUAGCUAGUUGGUAGGGUAAUGGCCUACCAAGGCAACGAUCUAUAGCUGGUUUGAGAGGAUGAUC
This 231-nucleotide ribosomal RNA is filed under the name uncultured bacterium. Its description in RNAcentral is "partial 16S ribosomal RNA". It matches the Rfam family "Bacterial small subunit ribosomal RNA", at positions 57 to 305 of the family's 1533-position model. The record is from RNAcentral.